RNAcentral lists this ribosomal RNA (483 nucleotides) under uncultured bacterium. Its description in RNAcentral is "partial 16S ribosomal RNA". It matches the Rfam family "Bacterial small subunit ribosomal RNA", at positions 30 to 507 of the family's 1533-position model. The record is from RNAcentral.
UUGAACGCUGGCGGCAGGCCUAACACAUGCAAGUCGCGCGGAUGAAGGGAGCUUGCUCCUGGAUUCAGCGGCGGACGGGUGAGUAAUGCCUAGGAAUCUGCCUGGUAGUGGGGGAUAACGUCCGGAAACGGGCGCUAAUACCGCAUACGUCCUGAGGGAGAAAGUGGGGGAUCUUCGGACCUCACGCUAUCAGAUGAGCCUAGGUCGGAUUAGCUAGUUGGUGGGGUAAAGGCCUACCAAGGCGACGAUCCGUAACUGGUCUGAGAGGAUGAUCAGUCACACUGGAACUGAGACACGGUCCAGACUCCUACGGGAGGCAGCAGUGGGGAAUAUUGGACAAUGGACGAAAGCCUGAUCCAGCCAUGCCGCGUGUGUGAAGAAGGUCUUCGGAUUGUAAAGCACUUUAAGUUGGGAGGAAGGGCAGUAAGUUAAUACCUUGCUGUUUUGACGUUACCAACAGAAUAAGCACCGGCUAACUUCGUG